This 81-nucleotide long non-coding RNA is filed under the name Mustela putorius furo (domestic ferret). RNAcentral's name for it is "lncRNA (ENSMPUG00000026000.1)". Lineage: Eukaryota; Metazoa; Chordata; Mammalia; Carnivora; Mustelidae. The record is from RNAcentral.
GAUUGGGAUGCAGCACUAGGCAGAGGGUGUCAGAAGGAGAAAAAGUUAGUUAGAAAGAUAUUUCAUAUCAGACCUUCUUGA